Homo sapiens (human) is the source of this 1912-nucleotide long non-coding RNA. RefSeq lists it as uncharacterized. NCBI's taxonomy places the organism in Eukaryota, Metazoa, Chordata, Mammalia, Primates, Hominidae. The record is from RefSeq and is a predicted model, not a curated record. The transcript is spliced from 4 exons.
GUGGGAUAACCUUGCUAGCUGAAGCUUCUGGCUCUCUUUUUUUCUUCUUCCCGUGCAGGAAACUUGCUUCCCUUCUUCCUGCCCUUGGACAUGAGACUCCAGGUUCUUAUGCGUUUGGACUCUGGGACUUGCACCAGUGGCUUCCCCGAGGCUCUCAGGCCCCCGGCCUCAGACUGAAGACUGCACUGCGGGCUUUCCUGGUUUUGAGGCUUUUGGACUUGGACUGAGCCACUACUAGCUUCUCUCUUUCCCUACCUGGCAGACAGCCUGUUGUGGGACUGCCUUCUAACCGUGUGAACCAAUUCUCUCUGGGAGCUUAUAGCUUCAUUGCACUGUGUGUGGCAUUUGGGUCCUGUUUGACAGCAAUGACUGCCUUUCUGUUUAGUGUCUGUGUGCUAUGAAGAUUGCACACAGGGGUCCAGAUGCAUCCUGUUUUGAGAAUGUUAAUGGAUACACCAGCUGCUGCUUUGGAUUUCACCCAUUGGUGGUAGUUGACCCGCUGUUUGGAAUGCAGACAAUUUAAGUGAAGACAUAUCCAUAUAUGUGGCUCUGUUACAAUGGUGAAAUCUACAACCAUAAGAAGGUGCAGCACCGUUUUGAAUUUGAAUACCAGACCAAAGUGGAUGGUGACAUAAUCCUUCAUCUUUAUGACAAAGGAGGAAUUGAGCAAACAAUUUGUAUAUUGGAUAGUGUGUUUGCAUUUGUUUUACUGGAUUCUGCCAAUAAGAAAGUGUCCCUGGACAGAGAUACAUAAAGAGUCAGACCUUUGUUUAAAGCAGUGACAGAAGAUGGAUUUUUGGCUGUGUGUUCAGAAGCUAAAGAAUUGUAAUUGUUCCUUAUGUAUGCCAGACACAAAUCCCUUGUGUUCAUCAGGGUUGCAGGAUUCAAGAUCAAUAUACAAAAAUCAAUAGUAUUUGACACACUUUAACUGAAUACUACAUACUCACAAUGAGCAAUCAGAAAAUGAAAUUAAGAAAGCAACUUUAUUUAUCAUAGCAUCAACAAGAAUAAAAUACUGAUACAUUUAAGAAGUGUAAAACUUGUACUCUGAAAACUAUAAAACAUUGUUGAAAGAAAUGAAAGAAGAUCUAAAUAAAUGUAAAAGUAUCCCAUGAUCAUGGACCUAAGGCUUAACAUUGUUAAGAAGGCAGUACUCCCUAAACUCAUCUACAGAUUUAACUUCAUCCCUGUCAGAAUCCCAGAUGAGUUCUCUGUAAAAUCGGCAAGCUGACUCUGAAAUUCAUAUGGAAUUGCAAGGGACUAAGAAUAGCCAAAAUAAUCUUUUGAAAAUGAGAAACAAAGUAGAAGAACUCAUACUUACUGACUUUAAAACUUACUACAAGACAAUGGUAAUCAGGACAAUAUAAUACUGGCAGAAGGAUAGAUGUAUAGACCAGUGGGAUAGAAUUGAGAGUCAGAUAUGAACCCAUACAUAUAUAACCACUGCUUUUGACAAGAGUGCCAAGAUUAUUCAGUGGGGAAAGAAGUUUGAGAACUGGCACAAGGACAACUAGAUAUGUAAACAUAUGCAAAACCUGGAGUAGGACCUUUACCCAACACCAUAUACAAAAACUAUGGGUGCAAAGUAAUUGGAUCAAAUGGAUCCAUUUUGAGCUAAUCCACAUAAAUGUAAGGACUAAAACUAUAAAAUCCUGAGAAACAAACAUAGAAGUAAAUUGUCAUGACCUUGAAUUUGGCAAAGUUUUCUUAAAUAUGAGACCAGCAACAGGAAUAAAAAUUGAUGAACUAGACUUCAUCAAAAUUAAACAUUUUUGCACUUCAAAGGACACCAUCAAGAAAGUGAAAAGACAACUCACAAGAUGGAAGAAAAUACUUGUAAAUCAUGUGUAGCACUUUUUGAUGAUAAACUUGAGGAAGACUUUUUUAUUUUUUAUUUUUAUUAUACUUUAAG